GCCUCUUUGGUGGAAUUGGCAGACACGCAGGUUUUAGGUACCUGUCUUCGGGUAUGGGUUCGAGUCCCAUAGGAGGCA
This 78-nucleotide transfer RNA is filed under the name compost metagenome. RNAcentral describes it as "tRNA-Leu". It matches the Rfam family "tRNA". Rfam says of the family: Transfer RNA (tRNA) molecules are approximately 80 nucleotides in length. Their secondary structure includes four short double-helical elements and three loops (D, anti-codon, and T loops). The record is from RNAcentral.